Molecule: long non-coding RNA, 1830 nt
Organism: Erpetoichthys calabaricus (reedfish)
Lineage: Eukaryota; Metazoa; Chordata; Cladistia; Polypteriformes; Polypteridae
Exons: 2
Source: RefSeq, a predicted model, not a curated record
AAUAUUUUGAAAUAUGCAAAACUUUUAAUAAAUUGUGUUAUUAAAAAAACUGCUCAGGUGGACUUUCCUGUUAUUUACUGAUUUAUACUUGAUUAAUGGAUUAGUAGGUUUUCUCUUUUUGGGAAUAUGAAAAACUGAACUGGCUAGAUGUAUCUCAGAUCAGGUGUCUAAAUUUUACAAUUCUUUUAAAGAGAGAAGUAAAUUGGUAUCCACUAACGAAUGUUAAAAUGUGUUUUUUCUUAUGCAACUCCCCAACAUUAGAGCACAAUAUCUUAGUCUGUGUGUGAAUCCUCGCAAUCCCAGUAACUGUUGUGUUUUUCUCAUUGUAUGAGUUUCAAUAGAAACAAAACCAGGCUGUUUCAUUUGCAAAAUAAAGCACACAUUCUUAGGGUAUUAUGCUUUGUUACUGGGUAAUUGGUGUAUGCCUUCACUUAUAAUGUGAUGUGGUCAUAUUUCAGUUACAUGCAAGCAACUUUUGUAUUCUGUUCUUUCUUAAUUUUGGAUGGUCCAUCAUCCAUGCCCUGGCUGCUCUACAGGGUGUAUCAGGACAGGAGGCAGAAGACUUACUUCUUGGUGGCCCAGAAUACAGUAUCAGUGAAGUGGAAGAAUUUAACCGAAAGAUAGGGCAGCAAUUAAAGAAGGAGGGAAUGCUGUGAUAUCUGUUGGAAUAGAAGAUGAUGCUACUGCCCAGUGCUUCCAGAAUCCUUCAUUUGAGUCUUGGGUCUGAAUCUACUGCGUCAUUGCCAAGUAUUCUGGGGUAAUGGAUCUUGUUUUGUUUACAUUUUGUUUUUCUCCAUAUUCCAAGCUCAUUUACUUGACCUUAGCUUUAAUAAACUGGAUGGCGGUCUCCUUCACAGUUGAUUUUAAAGUACUAUACUGUUCAUUACAUAAAAAGCUCUGAACAAUUUAGUCCCUUCCAGUAUUUGGUACUGUCUCUCCCCCAACACUCCUCAGUGUAAUCUUUAAUCCACAACCACUAAUUUGCUUAUGAAAGAACUGGUGAAGCAGCUUGCACAUGUAUACCAAAAAUAUAGAAUGCCGGCUAUAAAUGAAAAACCUUUCAAAAUACUUUUAAAACUCCAUUUUUAAACUUCACCUCUGCUUAAUUCCCACUUCUAUCAGUUUAUGAUUUACUUCUGGUUUAUGAAUGGAACUGCAUACACUUUGAAAGAUUUACACCAGAUAAUAGCCAUUGUUUGUUUUUUUUUUUUUUUCUGUUUUCUUUUUUUUGUCCAGUGAUGCCCUUUACCAUGCACCCUGGUCAAGUCUCAUGCAACUGACUGUGGUGCUGAAGAGAGAAGAUUUCUGAAGACCCUCUUGAAGUGGAGCUGCAAUUGGAUUAACACCACAACAGUAUGCUUGGUGAGAAUAUCCACAGGGGUCUGGGGAGGCUGUGACCUUGUGACCCUGAGACGUUGUUUUGUCAAUCAUCCUGACCAACUGGACCUUUAUGUGUUCUUCAACAGGGCCAUCUGACCAGCAGAUAUAUUUAAGGAGAAGGACCUUUCAAUUUUCCUCUUGUGUACUUUUUAAUUGUAUAUAUAUUUUUUCGUUUUCAUAAAGUUAUAUAUAUUUGUUAAGCAGUUUGGGCUUUAUUAGUAUUAAAAUAUGUUAGAGAAGUUAUUUGUGGAAUAAUUUUAAUGAUCAAAAUAGCAAAAAAUGUAACUUUAAAUUUUCUGUGCUCUGGGUAAAAUAUGUUAAAGCUAUAUGGUGAUUUUUUACAAUUUUUUUUUUGUACAUUUGAUAUGUUUUUUUAGGUGCAUUGUUCUCACAUUGUUCACUUUUGUUGUUCUCAUAACAUUUAUUCAAUAAAAUUUGCAUGAAAAGUGU